AAGUCGUAACAAGGUUUCCGUAGGUGAACCUGCGGAAGGAUCAUUAAUACGCUUUUGUUUGUAACAAAACAAAACGUUUUAAACUCCAAAAGAAAUAGUGGAAACAUAACUUCCGGAUGCGAAUGUUUGGGAACUGAGUAAAAUCGGUUCUUUGAAAAAGGGACUUCAAGCAAUUGACACUUUAGAGUAGAGCAGUGAGGUGAAAUUCUCUUUUCGAAGAGAGUUUGGUUCUGAAAAACAUUUGUAUCCGGUUAUCAUAACCUGUUCUACAAAUUCUAUCAAACAAUAAACCCCAUGUAUAACAACUUGAACUAAACAUUUUUUUGUUGUCUCUUCUUGCACUUUUGUGAGAAGAUACUACGAAGAAAAAACCUGAACUUAAGAACAACUCUUAACAACGGAUAUCUUGGUUCUC
RNAcentral lists this unclassified non-coding RNA (415 nucleotides) under fungal sp. Its description in RNAcentral is "partial internal transcribed spacer region". The stretch from base 1 to 46 matches the Rfam family "Eukaryotic small subunit ribosomal RNA", at positions 1786 to 1831 of the family's 1831-position model. The record is from RNAcentral. Lineage: Eukaryota; Fungi.